AGCAGCAGUUAGCUCAGUUGGUUAGAGUGUAGUUCUGUUAAUGUGAAGGUUAUGGGUUCAAUUCCCAUACAGGCCA
Podarcis lilfordi (Lilford's wall lizard) is the source of this 76-nucleotide non-coding RNA. The record is from the annotation of a GenBank genome assembly. NCBI's taxonomy places the organism in Eukaryota, Metazoa, Chordata, Lepidosauria, Squamata, Lacertidae.